RNAcentral lists this unclassified non-coding RNA (235 nucleotides) under fungal sp. RNAcentral describes it as "partial contains 5.8S ribosomal RNA, internal transcribed spacer 2, and large subunit ribosomal RNA". The record is from RNAcentral. Lineage: Eukaryota; Fungi.
CGCACAUUGCGCCCCUUGGUAUUCCGGGGGGCAUGCCCGUUCGAGCGUCAUUUCACCACUCAAGCCUGGCUUGGUAUUGGGCCCCCGGGGGUGACCCGGGCCCUAAUGUCGUCGGCUGGAAAGUCUCGAUCUCAGCGUUGUGACACAAGUUCGCUGGCGGGAGAGAUUGUUCCGGGCCGUGAAAUACCCACCAAAGGUUGACCUCGGAUCGGGUAGGGAUACCCGCUGAACUUAA